RNAcentral lists this long non-coding RNA (1252 nucleotides) under Crocodylus porosus (Australian saltwater crocodile). RNAcentral's name for it is "lncRNA (ENSCPRG00005007157.1)". Lineage: Eukaryota; Metazoa; Chordata; Crocodylia; Crocodylidae. The record is from RNAcentral.
CCUUGGCCACCACCUCGUUCCAUGCAGGGAGCUGGAACAUCUUCAGUGCCAACAAUACCCUUCUGCCUCACCUCUCAACUGGGAGCCCUGGAUCAGAGGUUUUGUAUGUGUGAUGCAGUCAUUGUAGCUGUGACCUGCACACAGUUUGUCUCCAGAGGAUAUGAGCACCUACCCCAUCCCCCACUGAACUGCAGUCCGGGCCUAUGCCCUACAAUUGGUGAGCUGCUGUUGGCCACAACAACAUGGGGAAGAAAUGCACCUUUUAACAACCCACUCUCCAUGUUGGUGAUGAGCACAAACAAAUAGCAAGGAACAAAGAUCAAGGGCUCUAAGACACCAGCAGCGAAAUGGUUCUUGGAAAUGAACAAGGCCAACGAAUCUUCACUUCAGCAGCCCAGCUAGAAGAUCAGGAAGUGAGUUCUAUGUCGUGUCUUUUGCCAACUCUGUUGGAAGCUACACAUCGUCAGCAGCUCCUCCCCACGCACCAAGUUUAACAAUUAUGUGCACUUUGUAUGUGAAAUGGCUUGAUGGGUAAGCUAUUAGGAACUUUUCUGCUAAAGUCCACCCAGACUGCAAGGUUACAUGUUCAGUAGCCAGGCAGAGGCAGCAAAAUGCAGAAAAAGGAGUUAAAAAAUAACUUUAACUUUGCUUGCUGGGAACAAGGUUUCUAGCAUUUUUCACCUCUGCAGAAGAAACUUGGAAGUUAGCAGCCAGGUUGGUGACUCUAAAACUCUCCCUUCUUGCUCAGUGGGGGAAACUGAGGCACUGCAAGGGACAGUGACUUGCCCAUAGUUGAAUGCAAGAUCAGUAGCAGAGCUGGUGACAGAACUGAAGUGUUCUCAUUCCCAGGGAUCCCAUGUGAAGCAGGAGACUCUGGCCUCCUCGUUUUCAGAGCCAUUUUAAUUGGAGUCCAGCUGUUUUUUGCUUUGUCCAUCAGAUAAUGAAGAAAACACAGUAAGCAAAAAUAGCCUCUCAGGGGUUGUAAACCAGGUUUGAGGUCUCCUAAGCCACCCCAGUGGCAGCUGUUUCUUCUGUUAAUGGGAUUGGGAGAGAAGUCAGAAGUGCUCGGUGGUCAUUUUCUAUCUGCUGAAAGACAACAGAGGCUCUUUCCAUAGCUAAGCAUGAUUCUCCUGUAGCUCACAUGACAGAGGGCUGCUGUCUGCAUUUCUAGUUUCUGGUCUCAAGUCCAUUCACAGUGGUCCAGUUUAUCUGGCAACUGCUUGAGGUCAAAUAUUUCUCUUGGUUCCCUAUC